Non-coding RNA from Leopardus geoffroyi (Geoffroy's cat), 81 nucleotides. Lineage: Eukaryota; Metazoa; Chordata; Mammalia; Carnivora; Felidae. The record is from the annotation of a RefSeq genome assembly.
GCCUGGGUGGCUCAGUCGGUUGAGCGUCUGACUUCGGCUCAGGUCAUGAUCUUGCAGUGGGUUCAAGCCCCGCGUUGGGCU